Molecule: ribosomal RNA, 1215 nt
Filed under: Escherichia coli
Lineage: Bacteria; Pseudomonadati; Pseudomonadota; Gammaproteobacteria; Enterobacterales; Enterobacteriaceae
Description: partial 23S ribosomal RNA
Rfam family: Bacterial large subunit ribosomal RNA
Source: RNAcentral
GGGUUGUGAGGUUAAGCGACUAAGCGUACACGGUGGAUGCCCUGGCAGUCAGAGGCGAUGAAGGACGUGCUAAUCUGCGAUAAGCGUCGGUAAGGUGAUAUGAACCGUUAUAACCGGCGAUUUCCGAAUGGGGAAACCCAGUGUGUUUCGACACACUAUCAUUAACUGAAUCCAUAGGUUAAUGAGGCGAACCGGGGGAACUGAAACAUCUAAGUACCCCGAGGAAAAGAAAUCAACCGAGAUUCCCCCAGUAGCGGCGAGCGAACGGGGAGCAGCCCAGAGCCUGAAUCAGUGUGUGUGUUAGUGGAAGCGUCUGGAAAGGCGCGCGAUACAGGGUGACAGCCCCGUACACAAAAAUGCACAUGCUGUGAGCUCGAUGAGUAGGGCGGGACACGUGGUAUCCUGUCUGAAUAUGGGGGGACCAUCCUCCAAGGCUAAAUACUCCUGACUGACCGAUAGUGAACCAGUACCGUGAGGGAAAGGCGAAAAGAACCCCGGCGAGGGGAGUGAAAAAGAACCUGAAACCGUGUACGUACAAGCAGUGGGAGCACGCUUAGGCGUGUGACUGCGUACCUUUUGUAUAAUGGGUCAGCGACUUAUAUUCUGUAGCAAGGUUAACCGAAUAGGGGAGCCGAAGGGAAACCGAGUCUUAACUGGGCGUUAAGUUGCAGGGUAUAGACCCGAAACCCGGUGAUCUAGCCAUGGGCAGGUUGAAGGUUGGGUAACACUAACUGGAGGACCGAACCGACUAAUGUUGAAAAAUUAGCGGAUGACUUGUGGCUGGGGGUGAAAGGCCAAUCAAACCGGGAGAUAGCUGGUUCUCCCCGAAAGCUAUUUAGGUAGCGCCUCGUGAAUUCAUCUCCGGGGGUAGAGCACUGUUUCGGCAAGGGGGUCAUCCCGACUUACCAACCCGAUGCAAACUGCGAAUACCGGAGAAUGUUAUCACGGGAGACACACGGCGGGUGCUAACGUCCGUCGUGAAGAGGGAAACAACCCAGACCGCCAGCUAAGGUCCCAAAGUCAUGGUUAAGUGGGAAACGAUGUGGGAAGGCCCAGACAGCCAGGAUGUUGGCUUAGAAGCAGCCAUCAUUUAAAGAAAGCGUAAUAGCUCACUGGUCGAGUCGGCCUGCGCGGAAGAUGUAACGGGGCUAAACCAUGCACCGAAGCUGCGGCAGCGACGCUGAUGCGUUGUUGGGUAGGGGAGCGUUCUGUAAG